This 2714-nucleotide long non-coding RNA is filed under the name Gossypium raimondii (Peruvian cotton). RNAcentral's name for it is "long non-coding RNA (GRAI_LNC002130)". Lineage: Eukaryota; Viridiplantae; Streptophyta; Magnoliopsida; Malvales; Malvaceae. The record is from RNAcentral.
AAUCACAAAAAUUUUAAAUUUACUUUCUUUAUUUACUAAGGUAGCCCUAAUUUCCCAUAAAUGCUUCACUGGGCCACCAAGGCCUCAAGUAGAUGAACUUCAUCACUUAUUUUUCUAAUCGGGUUAGUUCAAGUGGGUUAAAUGAGUCCUAUUAAAUAUGUAUACCUCCAUAGGACGCUCUUUGUGCUUUGGUCACUGGCUUUAAAUCGCAACCCAUGACAGGACUUAGUUGAAUAUCUAGUCAAAUUGUUAAAGUGGCAUAGCUUGUAAACAUUUUAAAUUUUCUAUUUAAUUUUACUUAAUUAGUAGAUCAACAUGUAAAAAUUCGACCCAAGAAACCCAUUUAGACCUUUGGACGAAUUUCCCAUUCAAUUUCACGCUAAAGAUUUAAUUUCACAUUUUAGUUAUUUGAUAAGGUGUCGACUGAAUUGUCAUGAUUAGUUGGCACACUUCAAAUCCUAUUAAAAUUAGGAGACUAACUAGGGAAGCUAUAAAUAGAGUGCGCCCCCUUCCCCUUUUAUUAAUUUAUUGAUUAUUUUUUUGAGCUAAUAAAAUUCUCUUUAAGUUUUUUUUAAAAAAACUUUUCCUGAGAUUUCUUUUAAAAGAGUUUAACAAUAUUUUUAGAUUUGGGGAAUCAUUUUUAAGUUUUUUCUUGUCAAUGAUUUUUUCUUGGAGGGAAAAUUAGAGUAAUUUGAAAAGGAUUGUAGAUUCAUCUUGUUUUCAAGGUUCUUAAGGACUUCUACAUGCCACUCUUAUUUUUUCCAUCUCUUUUUUUUUUCCUUUUUUUUCCUAUUUUGUUCUUAUUAUUUUGAAUCUAAUCUUUGAAUUUACUUGAUUUCAGAUCUUUUUUUAAUUAAGUGGGGUGUUCUCAUAUCUCACCUCAUUAAGAAACAUCCCAAAAUUAGAAAUUCUUUGCUUUUCUUGCUGUUUGAAUUCUUGUCACAAAACAAUUUGCUUUUGGCUUAAUUCUUCAUUAUACUAAACUGUUUUUGUUAUUUUGUUCCAUAUCUGAUUGAAGGCUUCUUUAAAGUUCAAGAAUGAUUCUUUCUCUUCUAAGAAACCUUAUUCUACUCAUUCUUAGAUUCCCUUUUCCCACCCCUACAUUUCUUUGUUGUUGGGUUUCUUUUUCGUUUGUUUUCAUUUAAUUUUUAAUAUGUUUUGUUUCUUUUGUUUAGAUCUCAAUUCGACAUCUUCAUCAAAGACAACCUAAAUCACUUCAAACAUUGGGUUCUUCAUUCUUCUUGGCUAGUUGAACUUUGUUUUGAUCUGGUUUUUUUAUUUCAUUCGAUUUUAGUCUUUAAUCUGCAAAUCUGUUCUAACCGUUUAUUUUCAGUUAAUUGACAGCCUUAUUUUGUUUGGAAUGCAUCAAGAACAAGCGCUUUCUUGAUCGACUUGGAUUCUUUCAAGAACCUUAAUUCCUAAUUCGAUCUUCUUGUUCUUUUAGUACUUGAUUUUCUGCCCUUUCAAUUUUAACUUCGAUUGUUUAUGCUUCAUUUUAAGUCAAACUCCAAAUUUCCUUAUUCAUCUAGAGCCUUAGGUCAAAUUUGCGAUCUUAUUCCGCAUUCGUCCCUACCACCCACUAACCAUACAAUUUACAACUAUACACGGAUUCUUUCCCAAACAAUUUCAAUUCUUUCUACACUCUCCCUCAGGUUGAUUUACACUCUCCCUCAGGUUGAUUUAAAAAUAUUUCAUAGUCAGCUUGGUUUUUAUAAAGUCGAAUUGUUUUCUCGGUAGUCUUUUUGUGAGCAAAUCAGCUACUUGAUCUUCAGUAGGAACCUAAGUCAUGCACACUAAACCACCUAUUUUUUCUUUAUUAAAAUGCUUGUCCACUUCAACAUGCUUCGUACGAUCAUGAAGAACUAGAUUGUUAGCUAUAGAAAUAGUAGCCUUAUUAUCGCAAUAGAACUUGUUAGGUACGAGCUCUGAAGCUCUCAACUCCUGUAGUAUUCUCCUAGUCCACAUUACUUCACAGAUACCAUGAGCACCGCCCUAAACUCAACUUCUACACUACUCGCAACUACACUUUGCUUUUUACUACGCCAAAUUACUAAGUUACCGCCAACAUAUGUACAAUAUCCCGAGGUCGAUCUCUUAUCAAUUAUACUCCCAACCCAAUUUGCAUUAUAUAGGCUUCAAUUUGAAGAUGUCCUCGAGAUUUAAAGAACAACCCUUUGCCUGGUGUCUCUUUUAAAUACCAUAGAAUCCUAUAGACAACCUUAAAAUGUUCAGGACCAAAUGAGUGCAUGGCAGUUUCUGCCAAUUUGGAACCCGUAAUGUUUGUUCAUCAAGUAAAUCAAAUACAUACGUUGAUUUACAAUAAUUCCCCCAUUAGACCUCACAAACUCCAUUCCAAGGAAGUAUUUUAGAACUCCUAGGUUUUUUAUUUCAAAUUCCCUUGGCUAAUCUCCUUUUCAAUAUAUCCAUCGCAUCAUAAUCUCCUAUUAAGAUAAUAUCAUCAACAUAUACUAUUAAUAUAGCAACCUUACCUUCUCCUGAAUGCUUGUAAAACAUGGUGUGAUCCGCUUGACUUCGUAUAAACCUAUACUUCUUUACUACCUUGCUAAAACGUUCAAACCAUGCUCUAGGUGACUGCUUGAAUCCAUACGUCCUUUUUUAGUUUGCAAACUUUUCUAGCCCCAAGUUCUUCUUCAAAGCCCAAUGGUAGGCUUAUAAAUACCUAUUCUAGAUCUCCAUUGAGAAAAGCAUUUUUC